This 200-nucleotide ribosomal RNA is filed under the name uncultured bacterium. RNAcentral describes it as "partial 16S ribosomal RNA". It matches the Rfam family "Bacterial small subunit ribosomal RNA", at positions 28 to 233 of the family's 1533-position model. The record is from RNAcentral.
GAUGAACGCUAGCGGCAGGCCUAACACAUGCAAGUCGAGGGGUAUAGUAGCAAUACUAGAGACCGGCGCACGGGUGCGUAACGCGUAUGCAAUCUACCUUUUACAGAGGGAUAGCCCAGAGAAAUUUGGAUUAAUACCUCAUAGUAUUAUGAAAUGGCAUCAUUUUAUAAUUAAAGUCACAACGGUAAAAGAUGAGCAUG